This 263-nucleotide long non-coding RNA is filed under the name Lathyrus oleraceus (garden pea). RNAcentral describes it as "Pisum sativum (pea) long non-coding RNA (PSAT_LNC033217)". The record is from RNAcentral. Lineage: Eukaryota; Viridiplantae; Streptophyta; Magnoliopsida; Fabales; Fabaceae.
UGUUUGACAAGACCAUCGGACUUAUGCCUACAUACCAACAUAAAAAUGAGAGAUCAAAACCUCGUAGUUCGUGGUAACAAUUUCAAAAUUGGUGAAUUGCUUUUAACAAAAGGUUAACAAGAAUGACACAAAGGGCCAAAAGUUAAGUGAAGUUGUUAGUUCUUUUUUUUUUGUCUUUUUAAAAUGUUAAGUCAAUAUAAUUACGUUUAUUUACAAAUUAGAUUUAAGAAAAAGUUUGAAAAUCCAUUGGCAUAAGGCCAAAG